This 209-nucleotide unclassified non-coding RNA is filed under the name Glomus sp. Its description in RNAcentral is "partial contains 5.8S ribosomal RNA and internal transcribed spacer 2". The stretch from base 1 to 65 matches the Rfam family "5.8S ribosomal RNA", at positions 84 to 154 of the family's 154-position model. The record is from RNAcentral. Lineage: Eukaryota; Fungi; Glomeromycota; Glomeromycetes; Glomerales; Glomeraceae.
GUGAAUCAUCGAAUUUUUGAACGCAAAUUGCACUCUCUUCGGAGAGUAUGCCUGUUUGAGGGUCAGCCUAAAAAAAAAUCGACAUAGUUGCUGUUACGCGGUACCUUUCGUCGGAAAUUGGUUCUUCUUAAACCUUUGGGUUUAAGCGGCUUAAAAUUUUCUUUCCGUUUCCAAGAACGUUUCUAAGUUUUUUUCUUUUUUUCCUUUUA